CUUUUUAUUAAAGCAAAUUUAUUCUCUUGAAAUAAAUACCAGUAAUUAAGAUUCUUGAUGUCUUUUUCCAAAGAAGAUCCUUUGCAAGAAUUCAGUGAAGCUGAAACAGGAGAGCUAGAUUCUUGUCUCAUGGAGUUGAAGAAUGAAUCUUGGGGAUGAAGGAGAAUUGUGUUAGAUACAGAUGUUCCUGGGAUGAAAAGAACAUUAAGCUACCUCAUGUCCAUGGCUGGUGAGAUCUCAGAAAAUAUAGGAGCAGCAGGCACCUCAUAAAACAAAAGUUGCUGCAGCCUGGGAUACAAUGUCAGUCAAUUCUAUGAGCAAGAGUUGUGAUGAAACUGAGUGACUGCACAGGUGACACACCCAUGAAGCCAGCUUGCCUGGGAUAGGGCACAAGAUGAUGCCAUCCAAAUUUCUCACUUCAUAGUUGCUAAAGAGGAAAAUGAGGAUCUACAAGAACUUACUACAUAGUCUUAGAUCAUUCAAUACAGAAGAUUAUAACUUUCUAUAAAGAACUCAUUUUAAGUGCCCACUGGGCAGCUGGGAGCCCUUCCUGGUGCAGUGUCCCUCCAGUGCGUGGUCUUCAGAAAGUUGAUCAUGGUGCUCACUGUGAAGAAGAGAUGCUUAAAGGGAUGCUGUCCAUUGUUUGGAAGGUGAGCUUGGAACUGAUUGGCAUCACACUGAAAACUGGAAUGUAUAGUCACCUCAGGAACCCUAGGAAGUUAGUAGCGUGUUGUCCCUUUGUGUUGUCCCCUUUUUUUUUAAUGCACGAAUUCAGUUUGUUUUAAAAAGGUAUUUUAAAUCUGUGAGUAAAGAAUGACCCAUUCAACAGAUGGUACAGAGACAAAUGACUACCCCUUUAGGAAAAAAAAGUUGCCUCCCAUAAAAAAUAAAUUUCAGACAAGUUAGAUAUACA
This 913-nucleotide long non-coding RNA is filed under the name Vulpes vulpes (red fox). RNAcentral's name for it is "lncRNA (ENSVVUG00000021179.1)". The record is from RNAcentral. Lineage: Eukaryota; Metazoa; Chordata; Mammalia; Carnivora; Canidae.